This 77-nucleotide small RNA is filed under the name Enterobacter hormaechei. Its description in RNAcentral is "tpke11". It matches the Rfam family "tpke11". Rfam says of the family: In Yersinia located in ICR upstream dnaJ (chaperone)gene. The record is from RNAcentral. RNAcentral also lists the same sequence under 1 other name. Lineage: Bacteria; Pseudomonadati; Pseudomonadota; Gammaproteobacteria; Enterobacterales; Enterobacteriaceae.
UGCAGGGUAAGUAAUCGGCACGGGCGUAGGAGAAUUCUCCACGCCCGUGCUCGCAUGUUAAGGGGCUUAAAAAAACC